Transfer RNA from Ipomoea nil (Japanese morning glory), 94 nucleotides. It matches the Rfam family "tRNA". From Rfam's summary of the family: Transfer RNA (tRNA) molecules are approximately 80 nucleotides in length. Their secondary structure includes four short double-helical elements and three loops (D, anti-codon, and T loops). The record is from Rfam. NCBI's taxonomy places the organism in Eukaryota, Viridiplantae, Streptophyta, Magnoliopsida, Solanales, Convolvulaceae.
CCGACCUUAGCUCAGUUGGUAAAGCGGAGGUCUGUAGUUUGAUUAAUCUAAGUUGUAAAUCCUUAGGUCGCUGGUUUGAAUCCGGCAGGUCAGA